CACCAGCCCCUCGAGUGGUGGGGAUGAUUAUUUGGCCUAAAGCGUCCGUAGCCGGCCGGGUAAGUUUCCCGUUAAAUCCAGCGUCUCAAGCGUUGGACUGCGGGAAAUACUGCCUGGCUAGAGAGUGGGAGAGGUGUACGGUAUUCUGGGGGUAGGGGCGAAAUCCUUUGAUCCCCGGAGGACCACCAGUGGCGAAGGCUGUACACUAGAACACGUCUGACGGUCAGGGACGAAAGCUGGGGUAGCGAACCGGAUUAGAUACCCGGGUAGUCCCAGCUGUAAACGAUGCAUGCUAGGUGUUGGGUUGGCCACGAGCCACCCCAGUGCCGCAGGGAAGCCGUUAAGCACGCCGCCUGGGAAGUACGAUCGCAAGAUUGAAACUUAAAGGAAUUGGCGGGGGAGCACCACCAGGCGUGAAGCCUGCGGUUU
This 429-nucleotide ribosomal RNA is filed under the name uncultured archaeon. RNAcentral describes it as "bacterial SSU rRNA". It matches the Rfam family "Archaeal small subunit ribosomal RNA", at positions 474 to 903 of the family's 1478-position model. The record is from RNAcentral.